UUGAAUCCUCAGGAUGUCGCUGGCUUCUCGCAAGGGAAGCAUGUGCACUCCGCCUUUCAAUCCACCUGUGCACUUAUUGUAGGCUGAAGAAGGGGAAACCUUUCCGAACCUAUGCUUUUUACACACACUUUAAAGUACCAGAAUGUAACACAGUAGGCCUUCAGGUCGAAAUAACAAUA
RNAcentral lists this unclassified non-coding RNA (179 nucleotides) under uncultured Clavulinopsis. Its description in RNAcentral is "sequence contains ITS1". The record is from RNAcentral. Lineage: Eukaryota; Fungi; Basidiomycota; Agaricomycetes; Agaricales; Clavariaceae.